This 1017-nucleotide ribosomal RNA is filed under the name uncultured bacterium. RNAcentral's name for it is "bacterial SSU rRNA". It matches the Rfam family "Bacterial small subunit ribosomal RNA", at positions 355 to 1375 of the family's 1533-position model. The record is from RNAcentral.
UGAGGAAUAUUGGUCAAUGGGCGAGAGCCUGAACCAGCCAAGUAGCGUGAAGGAUGACUGCCCUAUGGGUUGUAAACUUCUUUUAUAAAGGAAUAAAGUCGGGUAUGCAUACCCGUUUGCAUGUACUUUAUGAAUAAGGAUCGGCUAACUCCGUGCCAGCAGCCGCGGUAAUACGGAGGAUCCGAGCGUUAUCCGGAUUUAUUGGGUUUAAAGGGAGCGUAGAUGGAUGUUUAAGUCAGUUGUGAAAGUUUGCGGCUCAACCGUAAAAUUGCAGUUGAUACUGGUUCCCUUGAGUGCAGUUGAGGCAGGCGGAAUUCGUGGUGUAGCGGUGAAAUGCAUAGAUAUCACGAAGAACCCCGAUUGCGAAGGCAGCCUGCUAAGCUGUAACUGACGUUGAGGCUCGAAAGUGUGGGUAUCAAACAGGAUUAGAUACCCUGGUAGUCCACACGGUAAACGAUGGAUACUCGCUGUUGGCGAUAUACUGUCAGCGGCCAAGCGAAAGCAUUAAGUAUCCCACCUGGGGAGUACGCCGGCAACGGUGAAACUCAAAGGAAUUGACGGGGGCCCGCACAAGCGGAGGAACAUGUGGUUUAAUUCGAUGAUACGCGAGGAACCUUACCCGGGCUUAAAUUGCAGACGAAUUACCUGGAAACAGGUAAGCCGCAAGGCGUCUGUGAAGGUGCUGCAUGGUUGUCGUCAGCUCGUGCCGUGAGGUGUCGGCUUAAGUGCCAUAACGAGCGCAACCCUCGUGGCCAGUUACUAGCAGGUAAUGCUGAGGACUCUGGCCAGACUGCCAUCGUAAGAUGCGAGGAAGGUGGGGAUGACGUCAAAUCAGCACGGCCCUUACGUCCGGGGCUACACACGUGUUACAAUGGGAGGUACAGAAGGCAGCUACCCGGCGACGGGAUGCCAAUCUCCAAAGCCUCUCUCAGUUCGGACUGGAGUCUGCAACCCGACUCCACGAAGCUGGAUUCGCUAGUAAUCGCGCAUCAGCCACGGCGCGGUGAAUACGUUCCC